GACGACGACGGACGGUGUUUGUUGGAUCGGACCGUGCGUGCGGGCUUUGCGGACGGUAUGAGCCCACCACUUUGACCCCUCCCUCGUCGUGUGCAGGCACGGAAAUCCUAUCCAUCUUAAGUAAGGCGGACAAAGGUAACUUUCAUUAUUUAAGAUUCGUGCAACGAAUGAGGUCCGUCAGAUCUGCAUCAAAUCAAAACCCUAGCUCCACUCCUCUCUCCUCCCCUGCCUGCGGCGCCACCCCUGCGCGGUACUCGCCACCACCGCGCUGUCGCCGACCGGCGCCCUCCUAACGCCACCGCCGAAGCUGGGGAAGAAGGUUGAAAAAAUGUUGGAUCAACUUUUCUUUGAAAAAUGUUAAUGCAACUUUUUUCUUUUUCUAAAGAAACGUUUGGGUCAACUUUUUUUUAAUAAAUAUUGGUUCAAAUUUUUCAAAUAAAUGUUGGUUCAACUUUUUUUCAAGAAAUGUUGAUCCAACUUUUUUGAAAAAUGCUGGUCCAACUUUUUUAAAAAUGUUGAUAUUUUUUUUAAAAAAAAUAUUGACAACUUUUUUAAAAAAAUGUUGGUAAUAUU
Molecule: long non-coding RNA, 573 nt
Filed under: Setaria viridis
Lineage: Eukaryota; Viridiplantae; Streptophyta; Magnoliopsida; Poales; Poaceae
Description: long non-coding RNA (SVIR_LNC008372)
Source: RNAcentral